GACGAACGCUGGCGGCGUGCUUAACACAUGCAAGUCGAACGGAAAGGCCCUGCUUUUGUGGGGUGCUCGAGUGGCGAACGGGUGAGUAACACGUGAGUAACCUGCCCUUGACUUUGGGAUAACUUCAGGAAACUGGGGCUAAUACCGGAUAGGAGCUCCUGCUGCAUGGUGGGGGUUGGAAAGUUUCGGCGGUUGGGGAUGGACUCGCGGCUUAUCAGCUUGUUGGUGGGGUAGUGGCUUACCAAGGCUUUGAAGGGUAGGCGGCCUGAGAGGGUUACCGGCCACAUUGGGACUGAGAUACGGCCCAGACUCCUACGGGAGGCAGCAGUGGGGAAUAUUGCACAGUGGGCGGAAGCCUGAUGCAGCAACGCCGCGUGCGGGAUGACGGCCUUCGGGUUGUAAACCGCUUUCGCCUGUGACGAAGCGUGAGUGACGGUAAUGGGUAAAGAAGCACCGGCUAACUACGUG
This 468-nucleotide ribosomal RNA is filed under the name uncultured bacterium. RNAcentral describes it as "partial 16S ribosomal RNA". It matches the Rfam family "Bacterial small subunit ribosomal RNA", at positions 28 to 507 of the family's 1533-position model. The record is from RNAcentral.